This 78-nucleotide transfer RNA is filed under the name Deltaproteobacteria bacterium. Its description in RNAcentral is "tRNA-Met". It matches the Rfam family "tRNA". Rfam says of the family: Transfer RNA (tRNA) molecules are approximately 80 nucleotides in length. Their secondary structure includes four short double-helical elements and three loops (D, anti-codon, and T loops). The record is from RNAcentral. Lineage: Bacteria; Pseudomonadati; Myxococcota; Myxococcia.
GGCAGGGUAGCUCAGGUGGUUUAGAGCGUCGGAUUCAUAACCCGAAGGUCGGGGGUUCAAGUCCCCCCCCCGCCACCA